ACGAACGCUGGCAGCGUGGAUUAGGCAUGCAAGUCGAACGUGAAGCCGAUGAACAAUCUUUCGGGAGAGUGAUUCGGUGGAAAGUGGCGAAAGGGUGAGUAACGCGUGGGUAAGCUAUCUUGAAGUUUGGGACAACCCGCCGAAAGGCGGGCUAAUACCGAAUGUGGUCGCUGGAUGCAUAUCCGGAUGAUUAAAGGUGGGGCUCCUUUUGGACCUGCCGCUUUUAGAGGUGCCCGCGUGCCAUCAGCUAGUUGGUAGGGUAACGGCCUACCAAGGCUUACGGGUAGCUGGUCUGAGAGGAUGGUCAGCCACACUGGGACUGAGACACUGCCCAGACUCCUACGGGAGGCUGCAGUCGAGAAUCAUUCGCAAUGCACGAAAGUGCGACGAUGCGACGCCGCGUGGAGGAUGAAGGCCUUCGGGUCGUAAACUCCUGUCAUAAGGGAGUAAUAGCCUUACGGUUAAUAACCGUUCGGUGUGAUAGUACCUUAAGAGGAAGCCACGGCUAACUCUGUGCCAGCAGCCGCGGUAAUACAGAGGUGGCAAGCGUUGUUCGGAUUUACUGGGCGUAAAGGGUGCGUAGGCGGUUUCGUAUGUCGGAUGUGAAAGAUCCAGGCUCAACCUGGAAAUUGCAUUCGAAACUGCGGAACUAGAGUACUGGAGAGGUGAGCGGAAUUCUCGGUGUAGCGGUGAAAUGCGUAGAUAUCGAGAGGAACGCCGGUGGUGAAGAGCGGCUCACUGGACAGAUACUGACGCUGAGGCACGAAAGCUGGGGGAGCGAACAGGAUUAGAUACCCUGGUAGUCCCAGCCGUAAACGUUGUGUACUUGGUGUGGGGGGAAUUGUCCCCCUCCGUGCCGGAGCUAACGCGUUAAGUACACCGCCUGGGGAGUACGGUCGCAAGGCUAAAACUCAAAGAAAUUGACGGGGGCCCGCACAAGCGGAGGAGCAUGUGGCUUAAUUCGAUGCAACGCGAAGAACCUUACCAGGGCUUGACAUGUAACUGCACGUCCUGUGAAAGCGGGGAAUCCUUCGAGGGUGGUAUACAGGUGCUGCAUGGCUGUCGUCAGUUCGUGCCGUGAGGUGUUGGGUUAAGUCCCGCAACGAACGCAACCCCUAUGUUUAGUUGCCACCGCCGGUGAUUCAUCGGGGCGCACUCUAGACAGACUGCCCGUGCAAUCGGGAGGAAGGUGGGGAUGACGUCAAGUCAGUAUGGCCCUUACGCCCUGGGCUGCACACGUGCUACAAUGGCCGGUCCAGAGGGACGCAAUAUCGCGAGAUGGAGCAAAUCCUCAAAGUCGGCCUCAGUUCGGAUUGGAGUCUGCAAUUCGACUCCAUGAAGUUGGAUUCGCUAGUAACGGCGUAUCAGCUACGACGCCGUGAAUACGUUCCCGGGCCUUGUACACACCGCCCGUCACAUCAUGAAAGCCGUCUGCACCCGAAGUCGCUGAUCCAACCCGCAAGGGAGGUAGGUGCCGAAGGUGUGGGUGGUGAUUGGGAUGA
Molecule: ribosomal RNA, 1502 nt
Filed under: uncultured prokaryote
Description: partial 16S ribosomal RNA
Rfam family: Bacterial small subunit ribosomal RNA
Source: RNAcentral